Long non-coding RNA from Spinacia oleracea (spinach), 988 nucleotides. RefSeq lists it as uncharacterized. The record is from RefSeq and is a predicted model, not a curated record. The transcript has 2 exons. Lineage: Eukaryota; Viridiplantae; Streptophyta; Magnoliopsida; Caryophyllales; Amaranthaceae.
CGGUCUUACAGGAAAGACCACCUUAUACUUGGAUAUUUUCGCGGGUCACACACGGGCGGAUAUGGGUCUGAUUUAAUUUCGGGUCGCAUAAAAAACAAAAUUUCAUCCAUUUCAAAACCUAAUCCGUAUCUCUCUCCUCCCCCUCUCUCCUCUAAACUCUCUGAUCUCUUUCUCUCUCCUCCGUCCGCCUCUUUGCUAAAGCCUAACACCGGCCAAAGCCUAACAUCGGCCAAAGCCUCCUCGCUGUUCCAAUUCGCCACCGCCAUCAACUCCUCACCUCUCCAGAAGGAGAACAAGGAACAUCGGUCGUCGCCGCUUAUUGCCCGCUGUCGUAUAUGUUUCUUUAGUGUUUGGUCGGGGUUCGAACCAAGGAUAUUGGCGUCGCCAAUUCGUUUGAGCAGCGGCGUUGUCAAUUCGUCUGAGCAGCGGCGUCGCCAAUUCGUAGUCGAUGGUGGCGAGUUGUCCCUCGACGGAAAAGCCUCAAAGAACUCAGUGCUAUGCUACUGCUGGUGGAGCUAGUUGUGAUAAACUGACGGAGAGGCAGCUACAGAAGCACCUCAAGGUUUGUGUGGUGACGCUAGGCUUGCGCCACUAGGCAUGCUGUGCUGGUUGUCAUUCCGGUGGCUGCUAGAGUUGAUGCGAUUGUGAAUUGCUGUUGGUUAUGUGUUGUUGUUGGUGAUAUGGUGAGCACACGCAGAGGAAGUGCUUUGGUGGUGCUUCGCUGCCGUGUUUCUAGGCGGCAUGGAGAGGAGUAAGACAGGGCAGGGCGGCAAAAUUAAAAAGAACUGUAAUUAUUAGUAUCCAAAUUUGUAUUGUAACAAUUUUGUUUCAUUUAUAUUAGUCAUGAUUAUAUAGGUUUUAGUUAAGAAUAAAUUCAUUUUAGUUACACAUUUGUUAUAUUUAGUUAAGAUUUUUUUUUCAAAAGAAUAAUUCAAUUGUAGUUAAGAUAAUGUGGUUUUAGUUGAGAAUAAAUUGUUUUUAGUUAAGA